AUCUUCAGGGCAGGGUGAGAUUCCCUACCGGUGGUACAGCCCACGAGCCGUAAGGCAUGAUUCGGUGAAGCUCUGAAGCCGACAGUACAGUCUGGAUGAAAGAAGAUU
Molecule: non-coding RNA, 108 nt
Filed under: uncultured Blautia sp.
Lineage: Bacteria; Bacillati; Bacillota; Clostridia; Lachnospirales; Lachnospiraceae
Description: FMN riboswitch (RFN element)
Rfam family: FMN riboswitch aptamer (RFN element)
About the family: The RFN element is a highly conserved domain that is found frequently in the 5'-untranslated regions of prokaryotic mRNAs that encode for flavin mononucleotide (FMN) biosynthesis and transport proteins.
Source: RNAcentral